Molecule: long non-coding RNA, 457 nt
Filed under: Physcomitrium patens
Lineage: Eukaryota; Viridiplantae; Streptophyta; Bryopsida; Funariales; Funariaceae
Description: long non-coding RNA (PPAT_LNC000382)
Source: RNAcentral
AAAUAUUGAAAGAAUUUAUUCCUAAAAAAACCAUACCAUUUUUGGAUAAUAUACCUAUAAAGGAAGAUAAAAAAGAAGAUAAGGAUGAGUGUAGAAUAAGUAGUUAUUUUCAGAAUGUAGAUACCUAGUGUAUAGUGUAAACAAAGAUAGAUAACUGCUGAAAAGGUGGUUCAGUAGGUAGAAUGGAUGAAUAGUCAGGAAAAGUAGUUAUCAUCUGUAGUAUAGGAGUUGGUAUCUUGGGGUAAUAUAAGGAAGAUGGGAGAGGGGAAGAAAAUGCCAGACUAUGAGAGUUGUGAGCCGGGGUAAGCUUGGUGCUACCUCUUUUCUUUUGUUUGUUAUUUUCUUUGAAUAAGAGGAUUGAAAGUUUUUGAAUAUUGUGAAGUGAAUUAUGGAAUGGAAAUGUGAUUGGUAUUAUUUGAGAAGAAGAAAGAUUGAAUGUUGAAAUCUAAUUGUAGUU